UACGGGGGGGGCAAGCGUUGUUCGGAAUUACUGGGCGUAAAGGGCUCGUAGGCGGCCAACUAAGUCGGACGUGAAAUCCCUCGGCUUAACCGGGGAACUGCGUCUGAUACUGGAUGGCUUGAGAUUGGGAGAGGGAUGCGGAAUUCCAGGUGUAGCGGUGAAAUGCGUAGAUAUCUGGAGGAACAUCAGUGGCGAAGGCGACACCCUGGACUCAUACUGACACUGAGGUGCGAAAGCGUGGGGAGCAAACAGG
RNAcentral lists this ribosomal RNA (253 nucleotides) under uncultured bacterium. Its description in RNAcentral is "partial 16S ribosomal RNA". It matches the Rfam family "Bacterial small subunit ribosomal RNA", at positions 524 to 776 of the family's 1533-position model. The record is from RNAcentral.